UACGAACGCUGGCGGCGCGCUUAACACAUGCAAGUCGAACGGAAAGGCCUGCUUUCCCUUGUGGAUUGCGGGUACUCGAGUGGCGAACGGGUGAGUAACACGUGAGUGAUCUGCCCCCAACUUGGGUAUAAGCCUGGGAAACUGGGUCUAAUUCCCGAUAGGACUGCAGGGUGGUGCCUGUGGUGGAAAACGAUUUUCUAGUGGUUGGGGAUGAGCUCGCGGCCUAUCAGCUUGUUGGUGGGGUAAUGGCCUACCAAGGCGGCGACGGGUAGCCGGCCUGAGAGGGUGGACGGCCACAUUGGGACUGAGAUACGGCCCAGACUCCGACGGGAGGCAGCAGUGGGGAAUAUUGCACAAUGGGCGGAAGCCUGAUGCAGCGACGCCGCGUGGGGGAUGACGGCCUUCGGGUUGUAAACUCCUUUCGACCGCGAGGAAGCCACCUGGUUGGAAGGGUGGUGACGGUAGUGGUAGAAGAAGCACCGGCUAACUACGUG
This 494-nucleotide ribosomal RNA is filed under the name uncultured bacterium. RNAcentral describes it as "partial 16S ribosomal RNA". It matches the Rfam family "Bacterial small subunit ribosomal RNA", at positions 29 to 507 of the family's 1533-position model. The record is from RNAcentral.